GCCUGAGUGGCUCAGUCGGUUAAGCAUCUGACUUUAGCUCAGGUCAUGAUCUCACAGUUGGUGGGUUUGAGCCCCGCAUCGGGCU
Transfer RNA from Felis catus (domestic cat), 85 nucleotides. It matches the Rfam family "tRNA". From Rfam's summary of the family: Transfer RNA (tRNA) molecules are approximately 80 nucleotides in length. Their secondary structure includes four short double-helical elements and three loops (D, anti-codon, and T loops). Further hydrogen bonds mediate the characteristic L-shaped molecular structure. tRNAs have two regions of fundamental functional importance: the anti-codon, which is responsible for specific mRNA codon recognition, and the 3' end, to which the tRNAs corresponding amino acid is attached (by aminoacyl-tRNA synthetases). tRNAs cope with the degeneracy of the genetic code in two manners: having more than one tRNA (with a specific anti-codon) for a particular amino acid; and 'wobble' base-pairing, i.e. permitting non-standard base-pairing at the 3rd anti-codon position. The record is from Rfam. NCBI's taxonomy places the organism in Eukaryota, Metazoa, Chordata, Mammalia, Carnivora, Felidae.